Molecule: ribosomal RNA, 877 nt
Filed under: uncultured bacterium
Lineage: Bacteria
Description: bacterial SSU rRNA
Rfam family: Bacterial small subunit ribosomal RNA
Source: RNAcentral
AGAGUUUUGUUCCUGGCUCAAGGACGACCGCCUGGCGGCAUGCCUAAUACAUGCAAGUCGAACGCUGAAAGCACUCUGCUUGCAGAAGUGCGGAUGAGUGGCGAACGGGUGAGUAACACGUGGGAAAUCUGCCUAGGAGUGGGGGAUAACAUUCGGAAACGGAUGCUUAAUACCGCAUAUCUUCUUAGACCGCAUGGUCUAUGAAUGAAAGACGGCUUUGCUGUCGCUCUUAGAUGAUCCCGCGGCGUAUUAGUUAGUUGGUGGGGUAAAGGCCUACCAAGACAAUGAUACGUAGCCGACCUGAGAGGGUGAUCGGCCACACUGGGACUGAGACACGGCCCAGACUCCUACGGGAGGCAGCAGUAGGGAAUCUUCCACAAUGGGUGAAAACCUGAUGGAGCAAUGCCGCGUGAAUGAAGAAGGUCUUCGGAUCGUAAAGUUCUGUUAUUAGAGAAGAACAAGUCAAGGAGUAACUGUCUUGACUUUGACGGUACCUAACCAGAAAGUCACGGCUAACUACGUGCCAGCAGCCGCGGUAAUACGUAGGUGACAAGCGUUGUCCGGAAUUAUUGGGCGUAAAGGGAGCGCAGGCGGUUGGAAUAGUCUGAUGUGAAAGCCCACGGCUUAACCGUGGAAGGUCAUUGGAAACUGUCCAACUUGAAUACAGAAGAGGUAAGUGGAAUUCCAAGUGUAGCGGUGAAAUGCGUAGAUAUUUGGAGGAACACCAGUGGCGAAGGCGACUUACUGGUCUGUAAUUGACGCUGAGGCUCGAAAGCGUGGGUAGCAAACAGGAUUAGAUACCCUGGUAGUCCACGCCGUAAACGAUGAGUGCUAAGUGUUAGGGGGUUUCCGCCCCUUAGUGCUGGAGUUAACGCAU